CUGAUUGAACGUGCUUGCACGGACUUGACGUUGGUUUACCAGCGAGUGGCGGACGGGUGAGUAACACGUAGGUAACCUGCCCCAAAGCGGGGGAUAACAUUUGGAAACAGAUGCUAAUACCGCAUAACAAUUUGAAUCGCAUGAUUCAAAUUUAAAAGAUGGCUUCGGCUAUCACUUUGGGAUGGACCUGCGGCGCAUUAGCUUGUUGGUAGGGUAACGGCCUACCAAGGCUGUGAUGCGUAGCCGAGUUGAGAGACUGAUCGGCCACAAUGGAACUGAGACACGGUCCAUACUCCUACGGGAGGCAGCAGUAGGGAAUCUUCCACAAUGGGCGCAAGCCUGAUGGAGCAACACCGCGUGAGUGAAGAAGGGUUUCGGCUCGUAAAGCUCUGUUGUUAGAGAAGAACGUGCGUGAGAGCAACUGUUCACGCAGUGACGGUAUCUAACCAGAAAGUCACGGCUAACUACGUGCCAGCAGCCGCGGUAAUACGUAGGUGGCAAGCGUUAUCCGGAUUUAUUGGGCGUAAAGCGAGCGCAGGCGGUUUGAUAAGUCUGAUGUGAAAGCCUUUGGCUUAACCAAAGAAGUGCAUCGGAAACUGUCAGACUUGAGUGCAGAAGAGGACAGUGGAACUCCAUGGGUAAACCGG
RNAcentral lists this ribosomal RNA (647 nucleotides) under Limosilactobacillus mucosae. Its description in RNAcentral is "bacterial SSU rRNA". It matches the Rfam family "Bacterial small subunit ribosomal RNA", at positions 47 to 683 of the family's 1533-position model. Lineage: Bacteria; Bacillati; Bacillota; Bacilli; Lactobacillales; Lactobacillaceae. The record is from RNAcentral.